Molecule: long non-coding RNA, 6374 nt
Filed under: Marmota monax (woodchuck)
Lineage: Eukaryota; Metazoa; Chordata; Mammalia; Rodentia; Sciuridae
Source: RNAcentral
GGAGAGGCGAGGUGGUCUGAAUUGUCUGGGACCGGUGCAUGAAGUCUGCAGUGGGAGGCCGGGGGUGUCAUGGGGAAGGAACACCGGUGGGUAGGUAAAGCAGAGGAGAGGCAGGAUGGCGGCCAGGUGGGAUACCGGUGGCCAGGAUGGCCACCAGGUCACCACGAACCUGGGGGUGAGGCGACCCUGCCCUCCUCUUGCCCAUCCCUAGCUUUUAGGGCUCAGUGCGCACAGAAGAGUUAAGUGCUGUGGAAUGUUCAGAUUUGAAGAAGCGGUGAAAAAUAAGUUUUUGAAAAUGAAGAGCGGAUCUCUCUUCCACACUUCCCCUUUCCCAGCGUUCAUCGCCGGGAGGAACGUCGUUGUUAGUUUUAAAAAUAUGAAGUCAAAAGCAGAGGUGUGUGAGGACAACACUCCCCGAGUCGUGAUGUGUCUGUCGUCUGCUCACGCACCUCCCCAUUCCAGCGCCUUGGAUGCAGGAGCUGUGUCUAAUGCCUCUGAGUUCCCCCACGCCCUGCGCAGGGCCCGGCACAGAGCACGCGUUGGAGGGGUUUGCUGUAUGAAUGAAUGUUGAAUGUGCACCGGGCGAUGUGAAAGCCAUUAAUUGGCCCAGGAAGUGGAGGAAUGGAGGUGGCACAGUACAGCUUCUUUUAAGCUUCACACCAAGUGAGAACCAGUAAGAACCCCAUUUCACUGCUAAGGACUCAAGUACGGAGUCCAAGUGAUGCUCCCCAGAUCCCACAACUGGCACAGGAUUCUAACCACCAGUCAGUACCACAUUCCAGGGCAAAGCUGUGUGGUUUUGAAAGAUUACUUUAUCUUUCUGAACCUCUGGUUCUUUUAAAGAAUUAAGAUGCUGAGACUUGGCAGGGAUACAAGUGAGAGAGCAGGCUUUAGAGGAUGGAGAGAAGGGAUUCCCACCAGGGUAAACAGCUUGUGCAAAGGUGUGGAGUCUGAAAGAACACCUCUGGGGACCCCUGGACUAUUCUGGUUAGCAGAGGGUUCCCUGAGGGAGGGAUGGGCAGGCUGAGGCCAGAAGGGAUUAGUCAGGAACCCACAUAGCUCUAGGCAGGUGAAGGAGAACUUUGUUAAAGAGCCCAGAAAAGUAAAGAAUGGCUGGAGCUGCCAGUGAGAGGGCAGUAGAAUCCAUGGGGAGAGGAAUGUGGAGAGGCAGAGGGGUACAGACAAGGGGGUUCAGACUUCCUUCUGAGAGCCACAAACUCCUGGGAUUUUCCUUAUGAUCCUGAGCCCUGCAGGAUGAUGCUGAGGUUCAAGCCUUCAAGAUCCAUGUGUUGGGAUUCCCUGUUUGUCAGAGGGGAGCCCUGGGAAAAUCUUAAACCAGGCAUUGAUAUGGGAAGGAUGAGUUUGAUAGGAAAGCAGAUAGCAUGGAAAUACUUCUAACCUCCCAAGAAGCUUAUGUUGUAGGGUCUGCCUGAAGAAGAGAUGGUGUCUGCCAAGGCCUAGCCAGAGGCUGCCUAGUCCCCUCUGUACAGUACACCAGCCAAGACCUUGGUUGGAAGAACAAGGAAGAGCGUGGGCUGGAGGCUGAAGUCCAGGCUAGAGGUGGAGUAAGGGGCCCUUUGUCAGGCCCAGGGACUGGGAGGUUGGCCCCAGGAAGCUCAGACUAGUCACUGGGGCCUGAGGUCUGGUAGGAGGCAAUUUUGCCUUAUGUGUCAAAGUUGGUAAUGGUGCUAAGAAACCUUCUUCCUUCAGCUCUUGCUUAGAACCUUCUCUAGCUUCAAGUUGCUGGUAUGAUCAAGCUUUGAAUCCCUAGCCUGGCAUUCCAGCCUCAUCUCCUCACCUCUUCCACCCUCCGCACACUCACUUCUCUCAGCUCCAUCAACGAACAUCUCCAUGGACUUCCUCCAAUGUGGUUGCUCCUGCUGGUUCCCUAGUAUGGGGCCCUGACUUUUUAAUUUCUGCUUCCCUGCUGGGUUGAAGGGAAGAAACUGGAGGCCAGAUGGUCACCUGUCCUCUUUGCUGUGGCAUCCUCAGAGACUAGCAUGGAGUCCAGUGCAUAGCAGGUGCUUAGUAAAUAAUUAUGGAAUGUUCCAUCUCUCACGUCAGAGUCACCUCCUCUGAGAAGCCUUCCUGAACUCCUCCAGGUAGUUUGCGUUUGUUCUGGCUCCCUUGGCUUGAAGGUUCUGUAAUUAUGUAUGUUCAUGUCUAUUUCCUGCCACUGGGAUAGGAGCACCUCAGUAGAAGUGUGACCCCAUCCACCGGCCUCCCAGCCCGGUGUCUGACAGCCCUCAAGAGAUCUCAGCAUUGGGAAGUGAAUGAAUGAGAUUCUCAGAGAAAAGCUGUCUGGAUGCCCCUGUUGCCUCAGCCGUGCCAGAUGAACAGAGCCAGAAUGAAAAGGAGCUUUUCAGAGCGGACCCUCUAUGACCCCUGAGGCCUGCCCAGGGGUUACCAAGAGGUGACCAGUAUACGGGUCUCAAACGCCCACACUUUCCCUCUGGAUAACCUUCAGAGAAGAGGGAGUCUUCGGAAUUGGUGGAAUCUGGCCUUUCUGUGGCCAGGGAGGCCCACCCAGCAGAACAGCUCCAGAAUCAGGGUGGCUUGUCUAGGAGGGCGCAGGCGCUCAGGAUCCAUGAGCCUGGAGGCUAAUAGGAAACAGUAGCCUUUUCUGCCUGUGCCCCACUGCUCCCAAGAACCUCUGCCCUCUCCAUGCCUCACACCAGAGGCAGCUCACAGCCGGGCUGCAGCCUGUGCGUCAAGCCCUCUGUGAAGAGCAGCCCUUCUCUCCUCACACAGCCCAGCUCUCUCUCUCAGGCCUGCAUUUACUAGUAAUUUUGCAUUAUUUUUCUUAAUAGGCCACUGAAGCAAUUCAGAAAGGUCUUUCCACAAGAUCUGUUUCCAGCCCAACCACGUGGUGCAUGCAUGAGGGGUAGGCCCAGCGCUAGGUGGUAAUGUGCCCCCCCCACCCCGUAGCUGUCUCUUUGACAGGAUUAUUAGGCUAGAGUAAGCUCAUCAGCCCUCACAGGACGUGGUGCCCUCUCACUUCUCUGUCCUGGCUCUGCCAGCCUGGAGUCCUUCCCCACUUUCCCCUGCCUGCUUGUGCCUCGUGCAGCCAGUGGGACUUUCUUCAUCCCUCCAGGCCCCACCCACGAUCUGCUCCUCUGAGAAGCCCUCCCUGUUCUCCUAGUGGGUAGCACGGUAUCCUCCUGUGGAACCUGUGACACUGAAGGGUCUUGUCCCUCUCUUGGAACUCCGAUCCCCUUGCAUCUGAGCCAUUGAAGGUCGGUUUUCCCAUUUGAUGAUGAGCUUUUAAAGGACAGGGAUUUGAUUUCUCUCUGCACAAGGGCUGUACAUCUCAGGCCCUACUUGCUGUUUCCUGAGCUGGACCAAGUCUUAUACCAGACAUCAGGAACCCAGAGGUGGGACAGUCAGGAGCCCCCAGCUCCGCCCUGCUAUCACCUAGCACUGUGCCUACCUGUGACACGUGUUCCAUGAGGAGGGGUCCAAAGCUGAUCUCAUGAAGAGGCCAUCCAGGGCUGUCUGUAUGGGCAUGGCUGUCUGCAUGGACAUUGGUGCCAGGUGCUUUGUGAACACAGUGGCUGCCAGUUCAGCUGGGGCAGGGCAGAGCAAAAGCAGCUUCACAGGGGAGGUGACACUUAAUUUGGGAUCUAAGGAUAAACAGAACUUGCCAAGAUGAGGGAUGAGCCUUCUCGGCAGAAGAGACAUCAAUCACACAAAGACAUGAACGAGGGCACUGUCGAGUGACUGGUAGAGGGAGGUGCAUUUGGGGAACAGAAACAAUACCAGAAGGAGAACUGAGGCUACACAAUGGAGCAGUUUGGGCACAUACGCUAGAGCCAUGUGUCCUGGGUUCAAAUCCUGACACUGGACCCUCUCAUCUCUCGGUGCCUCAGUUUCCUCAUCUGUAUAGUGAGGAUUAUACAAGUACUUGCCUUAUAAGAACUUUAUAAGGCUUAAGUUCAUUUUUGUUAAAUGCUUGGGUCAUGUUGAUAUGGGAUAAGCUGUGUAUGCCUCAUCAGGGGCAGGCGAGGCUGUCUUGUGUGGGGCUUGGGUUUGGACUUCAUUUUGAGGACACUGGAAGCAACAAAGAGGAGCUGAGGGGAGUAAGAGGCUUGGCUUGGGUCCAGCCUCACUUCUCCACCCACACACAUUAAAGGGCCUCCCAAGGGUCCCCUGCCUUCCCUCCAUCUCCCAUGCCUUCUGGUGCUCCCAGGGGCCCUUUGGCCACAAUCCAUGUAUUGUGGAACUGCAGGGGCUGUGGCCACACCCACCUGACAUAUCCAGGGAAAACUUUAAGGCCUAAUUUAUUGUCAAAGGCCCUGAUCCUUAACACCCUGAUGAGUGUCUUAGUUCAGGCCUUGACUUAAACGCUAAUGGAUCCAGUUAAGAGGGUAAGUUAAGUGGGAACAGACCGGGGAAUGAAGGGCACAGGGAGGUAAAGAUGUUUGCUUGGGGUUGGAGAGCAAUCUGGUUGGAGGGCACUGUGGAGUGUGAUGCUGUGUGUUGGGAACCAGACACUUCCUGGCCCAGCUACCUCCCUCUGUGUGCCUCUGCUUCCUCAAUGAUAAAAUCAAGAUGGAAAUUGUGGCAGCUCCAGGGAAGGAACGUGGCCCACCAAGGAUGAAGCAGGAAAACCAAUGUGGAAGGGGGAGCACCAGAGGAGGACCCCUUGAGGCAGGGAGGAGAGGGCAGUGUGGCAAGAGGUUAAUAAGGGCCAGGAGGACAAGGACAAAAUGUCUGGAAUGGGCAGUUGAGACCAUGGGUGACUGGGAGAUGGGUGUGGAUGGAGAAGGAGGCUGGAGCAGAGGAGCACUUGUUGAUGGUGGAGAGCUCUUUCCAGGGCAGCUGACAAAUGACUGGGCACUUGAGUGGCAGCAGAGGUGGAGGCAGAGUUGGAGGAUUUGGGUGGAGUUUGAAGGACUUAAAGCUGAAAGCUAUGUGCAGAGGGAGGCCAGGGCAGGAGACUGACACAGUCCCAAGGAGAGGUAGCACUUCUGGGAGGCCUGAGAAUUAAGGGGUGCAGGGGCAGAUGAGGGAGAUCCACAUGGCCCCUUCUUACUUGGUAGGAGGGUUGGGUCACUUUGGAAAGGGUCUGUGUCAAGCUAAUAAAAGAUGAUACUUGGCUCCUCUUCUCAUUCUCUGAUAGUAUCCUGAUCAGAAUCUAAUCUUGAAAGGAUGGGGACCUUCAUUUCCUUUCUGACCCCAGAUCCUGGGGGCUUCCUCCCCUGCAGCUAGUCAGGGGAAAUGUGAGCAAUCAUAGCUCCACGCCUACCCUUUUCCAGCACCUUUGUAUGCUCACAGCAGGAGGUGUCUACUUUGUCCCCUUCACUGUCAAUUUCAGGACCAUGAAGUCCUGGGAGAUUAACUUCUGUGUUCCCAGCCCAGAGCAUGGGUCACACCCAACAGGGGCUCGGGGGCUUUACUGUGGAAAGGCAAAGGGUGCUUUCAUUUGGCUGCCUCUGCUGCCCCCUGCUGCCUGAUUCUGGUUAGGGCAGAAUAAUACUAAGAAUGCUACAGCCGGCUGGGUUUCUGGCUCAGUGGUGGAGUGCUUGCCUAGCAUGUGUGAGGCACUGGAUUAGAUCCUCACCACCACAGAAAAAGAAAAAGAAUAAAGGUUAUCUUCUUUAAAAAAAGAAUGCUAGAACACUCCUCUCCAAUCUUCGGUUUCAGUACCCCCUUUCAUACCUCCAAAUUAUUGAGAACUUAGAAGAACUUCUGCUUACCAGUUUAUACCUAUUGAUACUUACAUUACUUAAAUUAAAAUGGAUACAUUUAAAAAUAUUUACAUAAUUAAAAUAACAAAAAGUUACUAGUAAGUACUAAUAUAAUGUAUUUUUUAAAAAAUAAAUUCUCCAAAACAAAACAAAAAAAUUAAUGAAAACAGUGAUAUUGUUAAUGUGUACAAGUUUCUUUAGUGCUUAGUUUAAUAGAAGACUGAUGGAUUCUCAGCUGCUUCUGCAUUCAAUCUGAUGCACUGUUGUUUGAAGUUUAUGAAAAGAAUACAGGCUUGCACAGAUUAGUAGUUGGAAAAGGGAUACUUUAAUGGCCUUUUGAAAUAGUUACGUCCAUUCUUCUUGAUACUAGCCAAACUGGACAAGUGGUAGUUUCUUGAAGGUUAGUUGGAAUUACUCUAAAAUCCCAUCCAUGAACCUUGCAUGCUCAGUUACAUUAAAAUCACACUUUGAGGGGCACUUUAAAUGUAUCUUUUACCUAGGUAUGCUGUGGUAACUUCAUACAUCAGCCUUUUUUGGGGGGGGGAAAUGGCUCUCUAAGUUAUGCAGAUCUUCCAAAUAUUGAGAAAUUUCAAUACACAACAUUUCUUUACAAAUUACAUUUAUUAACAUCACCACUGAUCUCAUUGGAGAAGUUUUUAAGUAUUGGGAGCCUAUCAGGCUCAC